CACAUGUAGGUUUGUGUGUACGUGUGUAUAAUGUUUGAGAGCUAUAAUGGAUGGAAUGUUCUUUUGAUUUAUCUCUUUGAUUGCUACUGUUGUAUAAAAGUGCUGCUAGACUUUGCAAGUUGAUUUGUAUUCUGAUAGUUACAGAAUUUCUUUAAUCUCUCCUAACAAUCAAGGGGAAUUUUCAGGCUUUUAUAUACAUAUAAUCAUAUUAUCUAUAUAACUUCCCUUCCCAUUUCCAAGUGUUCAUAUUUUUCUCUUGACUAAUCACUUGAUGUGUUCGAAUGAACCACAAACCCCAAAUCUAAGCUGACAGUGUUUCUUCUACUAUGCACUCACAAAGCAGAUGACUUCUGACACUGGAUACUUGCCCCUUUGGGAGAAUUAUUAAUAGACUUGAUGGGAAAGUGCCUGUCUCUUCAGAUAUCUCUUGGCUUCUCUAUGCAGCAUAUUUUGUGUGUGUGUGUGCAGUUGGACAGAAUUUCCCUGGAAUGAGAAUGAUGAGCUUUUCUAUUCUACUGCUAGGACAUCUACAUCUGGCAUGCCAAAUAUUUCUGUCAAGACCGCUGUGUUUCUCCAAGAAUGUCAACAUCAUGCUCACAUGCCAGCUGUGGAUGUUUGAAAGAAAGUGGACCCCCAAAGCAGUGAUGCUGUUAGGAGGUAUGGCCUUAUUGGAGAAGGUGUGGUCUUAUUGGAGGAAGUGAGUCACUGUGGAUCCAGGCUUUAAGGUCUCUUUUGCUCAAGCAUCCCUCAGUGUGACUUUCAGCCAACAUCCUGUAGCACUCUCAGCUCCAGCAACACAUCUGCCUGAAUGCUGCAAUGCUCCAAUUAAUCAUAAAGGACUGAACUUUUGAAACUGUAAGCAAGCUACCCUCAAAUAAAUGUUUUCUUUAUAACAGUUGCUGUGGUCAUGGUGUCUCUCCACAGCAAUAGUAAGUCCUAACUAAUAUGCCAACUGUAUUCAUAACCUUCUUAUUUGUGAAUCUUUCACACAAACACUGGCAGAUACUGCCUUUUCUGUGUGUAGACAGAACAAUAUUUUUCCUUGCUCUUUCAUUUCUGGAGAAUAAUUUGCUGGGUACAUAUUUCUGGCUGUAAGUUUUAUUUUCUCUUCAAAACAAGAAAUGUAUAAUACCAUUCCUUCCUGGUUCUGCUGCUCAUUUUCCUUCCUGGUGCUGCUCUUCAUUUAAUGAAUGUUCCUUUGAAUAUAGUUGGUAGUUCUCUCUUGCAGCUUUUGGUAUUCCGUUUGCUCAGUGCUUAAUCUUAAAUAUGCCACCUCCAUUUUGCAAUAUGCCACCAUGAGGAAAUGUAAUGGUUGGGCUUUCUUAGGGUCUCAUAAGUAACUAAGUCCAGGUACUCAUUCAUUUCCCAACUCUAUCGGACUUUCAGAAAGUCUUUCCUUAUAUAUGGUUGCAUAUUUUCUCCCUCCUUUGGUGUUCCAGAACUCACAAAAUAUUUGUUUAUUUAAUGGAAAACAUGAAUCUCAAUGAGGAUUUUCCAAUUCAUUUUUAUUUUUUAUAAAGUUUUAUAAGGAUUUCUGGAAUACUUAAAAGAUUUGAUUUUCUGUGAUUAAUCUAGAACACACACACACACACACACACACACAACACACACACACACACACACACACACACACACACACACACACACGGUAGGAGAUUUUUAUUUGUUUAGGCAACAGGAUCUUCAGUGUAGCCUCAAAAUUCCCAAGUAACUUCCCCCCACAUACUGGGAUUACGAAUGUAUACCACCACACAUGGAUUUAAUCAAUAUUUUUUCUGCUUAACUUAAUUUCCUAGAUUUCUGUUUGGUUUAUUCCAGGAUCUCCCCACCCCCACCCCUGUCUCUCUGCUGAUGAGUUUCUUUUUUAUGUCAAUUGCAAUUGUAAUUGUACUCUCAGAAGGCUCACAUGUAUCCUAAUGCUUGUGAUUUUGUAUUAAUUACUUGACAUGUGUAUAUUUCUUUCACUGGAAUUCAUUGCUAUAGUUACUAUGUUCUGUUACAGACCAUAGGACCUCGUUUUUCACAUUUCUUGUAACCCUACAUCACAAUAUUGAUGUUUGUGUGUAUUUGGUAGACCCAGUGUCUCUAUUAGUUUUAUGAUGUGACUUUCCUCAUUAAUGACUUUGCCAUGUAUGUUUCUUAGGACGCCAACUUGUAAGUUAUGCUGGCUAUGUUCUGUUUGUGUUCCACAGUGUACUUACUGUUUCUCUAGCUUACUUGCACGUCAUCAAUUUAUCUGGAUACAGUGUAUGCAGCUGUGGCUGUGAGAGUCCUUUUUCUCUGAAAGACACUUUGUGAAAAGGAAAUGGGUUGCUCCAGUGACAGGAUACAAUGGAAGUUGUUUUUAAGGAUGGAAAUGAGGACAAGAGUCACCAUGUGUGUAGUUUGGCAUACUGGAUGCAUAGCAGCAGCAAUGAAAACAGUCAGGGACAAACAAGGCAUGGAGUACAUGUCCUUGCCUUUUUGCAGUUUUAUCUACCUAUAGCCCUUGAGUUUCAUAGCUCUGUCUACCAGACCCUAGCAUUAGAUAAGGGACAAGGCAAGUUCUUUCUCUGACUUCAAGUAGUCUCUAUAAUGUGUGUCCAAGCCUUCUGUUUUGUCUUACCUACCCCUUGGUUAAAACAGCUGACUUAAACAACUUAUUGGGAGGGGUUAUUUAUUUUAGGUGAUGAUUGCAGAGGACACACUUCAUAGUGACAGGGAAGGCAUGAGAGUACAGAUCAAUUCGCACGAGAAUGGGAGGGAAGGGGACAAAGUUAGUGGAGGCAGGCCGAGGACAAGUUAUAGUCCCCUAAAUCAUCUCCCUAGUUCCUGUAUUUUCAGCUAGGCCUCACCAAUGAAGUGCCCCAAAUCUCCAUAGUUUCACCAGCUGAGACUAACCCUGUCUUCUAUUCUUCCCCCAACUCAACCUUCCUGCUCCCUCAUGUCCUCCUCUCCCUUCCUCUUCUCCCCUUCUCAUUCUCCUAGCUUCCUCUUCCUCCCUCCAUGCUCCAAAUUUGCUCAAGAGAUCUUGUCCCUUUCCCCUUCUCUGGGGACAAGUUUUCCUUGUUUCCUAGCUUCUCUGACAGUGUGGAUUGUAGGCUGGUAAUUCUUUGCUCUAUUCUAAAAUCCAUAUAUGAGUGAGUACAUACCAUGUUUGUCUUUUGUUACUGGGUUACCUUGCUCAGAAUGGUUUCUUCUAGUUCCAUCCAUUUGAACUGAACUGGAAUCCAGUUGCAGAGAAGGAGGAGUGAUGAGCAAAGGGGUCAAGACCAGGCUGGUGAAACCACAGAAACAGCUGACCUGAACAAGGAGGAGCUCAUGGUCUCCAUACUGAUAGCUGGGAAACCAGCCUGGCACUGAUCCAGAACCCCUGAAUAUGGGUGUCAGUGAGGAGGCCUCGGAAAUCAAUGGGAGCCCAUCCCACAUGAAGGGAUACUCCCUCAGCCUAGACACACAGGGGAGGGCCUAGGCCCUAUCCCAAAGGAUAUGACAGACUCUGAAACCCCCCUCAUGGAAGGCAUCACCCUCCCUAAGGAGCAGAAAGGGUAUGGGAUAAGUAGGAUGUUGGGGGGGAGGGGAAGUGGGGAAGGAGAGGGAACUGGGAUUGACAUGUAAAACAAUCUUGUUUCUAAUUUAAAUUAAAAAAUGGAAAAGAACAAUGUUGACUCUAUUUCCUUUGAAAAAUAUUGCCUAGUUUUGAAGAAAUUGUGCUAUUUUAAGACCUAAUGUUUUCAAAGUAAAAGGAAAUAAAAAAUGUUGAUUCCACUAUUUAGAAAGGCACAGUAGCUUCGUGUAAUUUAAAUUUAAAUUUUGGUAGUUAAAAAUAAUAAAUAUUCUUGAGGUAUAAACCAAAAUAAUGUUCAGAAUUAUACUUAAAAAUACAAAAUAUAAUGAAGACAAAGCAAACAGAGAAUUACACUGUCACACUGGAGAUACUUGAAUGAAAAAGACAGAGAGAAGACUGAAUAAUCCUGUGACAAUAGCUGAGGAGAUGCAUUCAUUUAUUCUUUCAUUGCUGUCUCUAUUCUCAGUGAGUCAGUUCAAAAGCAAAUUCAGGUAUCCUAGGGAGUUUUGUAUUUCGAGCACUCUUGGAAAGACUAGGACAAAAUAUAUUUUUAAGCUACGGACAUCCCAUGCUCAGGAGGAUUUUCCAGGUAAGUUUCCUUUCUGUUUUUUGUUUGUUUGUUUUCAUUUUCAAGGUGUGUGUGUGUGUGUGUGUGUGUGUGUGUGUGUGUGUGUGUGUGUGUGUGGUUUCUUUUCUACCUUGUUUUGAGACAAGGUUUCUUGGUAGUCAUCGUUGCAUAGGUUGUGAGCUUUUGGAGAUUCUUCUGUUUCCUCUUCCCAGCUUGGCACAAGAAUGCUGCGGUUAUUUAUGUGUGUUACCAAGUUCAGCUUUUCUUGGGUUCUAGGAGUAUGAACUUAGAUCUUCCAGCUUGCAAGGCGAGCAUUUUAUGCACUCAGCCUUCCUCAUCACCCUUGUGUUUUUUUAUGAUAUGACACAAUUAUGCCACUCUUUGGCAUGUGUCCAAAGGACUUAAGUUCCUAUUCCACAGAUAACUGCUCAGCUAUGUUCAUUGCUUUUUUAGUCACAAAACUAGGAAACAAAAGAAACCUAAAUGUUCUUGACCAGAUGAACAAACAGUGAAAAAUAUGAUUCAUGUACACAAUGUAAUACUAUUCCGUUGCAGAAAAAUGAAAUUUGUAGGCAAUGAAUAGAAAAUAUUAUGGAGUAAUGGAGCAAGAAGAUAAAACCACACGUUCUCUCUCAUCUCUGGGUGCUAUCUCUGGAUAAUCAAAUGUGGGUGUAUAAACAACUGGAGUAAAAAUAGAAACAAGAAAAAGUGAGACAGGACCAGGGUGUGGAGGAAUGAAAGAGACAGGCAUAGAAGGACACAGAAAUUGAUAAGGAUUAUUGCACCAUGUGCUGCACUGUGUAAAUUUUCUCCUUUAUUAAGUGUUGCCCAGAAUUCUGCCCUCUUCAUCUCAAAUACCAAGACACCCAUGAAUGAGAGUACCUAAAUUCACUCAGACUUCUAUGAAAAAUUACCACAACCAAGAGAUCUUGUAAAUGGAAAGAUGUAUUUCUCACAGUUCUGGAAGGUUGGAAUCACAAGGCUAGGCCCUAAUGCAUCUGCUGUGCCAAGUCCACCUGCCUAUUCUGUGGCCUUCUUGUGUUGUCCUCACAUUCUAGAAAGGGUAGGGUGUUUCUGUGGUUCCUUUAAUGAAAAAAAAAAAAAUUCCAUCCAGAGAGCUGUGUGCUAAUAACCUUAUCCCUUCUGGUUUCUCACUGCCCCCCCCCCAAUUGGGGAUUAGCUGUAACGAAAUCAGAAAGGAAGGCAACUGACUGAGCAAGAAAACCUGUUAUUUCAAAUAAAGUGAAAUUUUGGUACCUUAGUACAAUGUGACUUGUUCUGUUCAACUGAUAUAAAUUGCUACAAUUCUACUGCCACUAUUUUCAGGAGAAGAAUAUACACCCCUAAAUAAUGGCAGUAAGUCAGAAAUAUGUUGAGCAAUAAUGAAACAAUAAGUCCAUCAUUUAGCUGGAGGAAAAUGCCACACAAACUUUUUGUUGUUUUAUUCAUCAAAUUUAUUUUUUCACCAAAAAUGUUAAAUUGGAAAACUACAGUGGAAAACAGCUCUUCAUAAUGUCCCUUAGUCUUAUUCAUUUGAGCUUGGAUUUAAGGAUUUGAAAGAGAAAUAAUUCAGCAACAUACACUUGUCAGUCAAAGAAGCCACAAAGAGAAUAUAGAGAUCAUUUAGAGUGUCUAAGGAUUCAAAAGGGAGUUGUCCCUUUGAUCUUCCAUUAAUUUCAUUUUAGAGGACAAAAUGGGAGAAUUGACUGGUAAAAUGUUAGGAAGAGUUACCCAACUGGGAACACGUAAAGCAGUAAAAAUAAUUCCUGACAGAGGAAGCAGUUUACACAAAAUCAUGAAUUCCACACAUACAAAUGUCAUAACUGUGGGUCUAAGAGACUGAAGACUGGACUGGAGAUGAGGUACAAUGAAGAGAAAUGAAAGGAUAGGAAACACAAAGCCCUGUGUAUUUCAGAACCACACCAACCACUGUUUCUGCAUAGCAAGUCAACUGAACAUUUUGAUGUCCAACAGAUUAGCGACACUGAAUACAUGAGCUUAUCUAACCCAGAACUAACAUAUUCUGAGCUUGCAUGAUUUAUUUUCUGUUUAUUAAUAUGACUUAUUUGGGAUAACAAUUACCACAUGCAAAUUACUAGGUGAAUUAUUCUUAAACACUCAAAUGUUGCUAGAUGAAUGGGGACAAUUGGCAAGGCCACUUUGGAAAAAAUGGAAAUGUAUAGCAAUCAUUGUGAACUUUUUAAAAAAUUUGGCCCUGUGAUUCUUGUUCAUGGUUCCAAAUAAUCAUAAAUUUUGUUUUACUUUGUCACUCUGAAUAUUUUUGCAUAUAUGUGAGCAGGUUUAUUCAUAUGUAUGUGCAUG
RNAcentral lists this long non-coding RNA (6437 nucleotides) under Cricetulus griseus (Chinese hamster). RNAcentral describes it as "lncRNA (ENSCGRG00015033185.1)". Lineage: Eukaryota; Metazoa; Chordata; Mammalia; Rodentia; Cricetidae. The record is from RNAcentral.